GACGAACGCUGGCGGCGUGCUUAACACAUGCAAGUCGAACGGAAAGGCCCUGCUUUUGUGGGGUGCUCGAGUGGCGAACGGGUGAGUAACACGUGAGUAACCUGCCCUUGACUUUGGGAUAACUUCAGGAAACUGGGGCUAAUACCGGAUAGGAGCUCCUGCUGCAUGGUGGGGGUUGGAAAGUUUCGGCGGUUGGGGAUGGACUCGCGGCUUAUCAGCGUGUUGGUGGGGUAGGGGCUUACCAAGGCUUUGACGGGUAGGCGGCCUGAGAGGGUGACCGGCCACAUUGGGACUGAGAUACGGCCCCGACUCCUACGGGAGGCAGCAGUGGGGAAUAUUGCACAAUGGGCGGAAGCCUGAUGCAGCAACGCCGCGUGCGGGAUGACGGCCUUCGGGUUGUAAACCGCUUUCGCCUGUGACGAAGCGUGAGUGACGGUAAUGGGUAAAGAAGCACCGGCUAACUACGUG
RNAcentral lists this ribosomal RNA (468 nucleotides) under uncultured bacterium. RNAcentral's name for it is "partial 16S ribosomal RNA". It matches the Rfam family "Bacterial small subunit ribosomal RNA", at positions 28 to 507 of the family's 1533-position model. The record is from RNAcentral.